AAAGAAGAGGCACGUGACGUCAGAGUAUGGGCCUGUGAUAUGACCUGCAGCUUCUGGGAACAAGACCUUCCGCCUGGCUGGGGUUCUUGUGACAAACCUUGACAGCAGCAGGUCUGGUUCCCUGACACGGACUCACAUCCCCGCAGUUCUCCGGUGAGCAGGAACCCCCUUCAGCGGC
This is a long non-coding RNA of Molossus molossus (Pallas's mastiff bat), 178 nucleotides long. RefSeq lists it as uncharacterized. Lineage: Eukaryota; Metazoa; Chordata; Mammalia; Chiroptera; Molossidae. The record is from RefSeq and is a predicted model, not a curated record. The transcript is spliced from 3 exons.